This 495-nucleotide ribosomal RNA is filed under the name uncultured bacterium. RNAcentral's name for it is "partial 16S ribosomal RNA". It matches the Rfam family "Bacterial small subunit ribosomal RNA", at positions 28 to 523 of the family's 1533-position model. The record is from RNAcentral.
GAUGAACGCUAGCGGGAGGCCUAACACAUGCAAGCUGAGCGGUAGAGUUUCUUCGGAGACUUGAGAGCGGCGUACGGGUGCGGAACACGUGUGUAACCUGCCUUUAUCAGGGGGAUAGCCUUACGAAAGGAAGAUUAAUACCCCAUAAUAUAUAGAGUGGCAUCACUUUAUAUUGAAAACUGAGGUGGAUAAAGAUGGGCACGCGCAAGAUUAGAUAGUUGGUGAGGUAACGGCUCACCAAGUCGAUGAUCUUUAGGGGGCCUGAGAGGGUGAUCCCCCACACUGGUACUGAGACACGGACCAGACUCCUACGGGAGGCAGCAGUGAGGAAUAUUGGACAAUGGGUUAGCGCCUGAUCCAGCCAUCCCGCGUGAAGGACGACGGCCCUAUGGGUUGUAAACUUCUUUUGUACAGGGAUAAACCUAUUUACGUGUAAAUAGCUGAAGGUACUGUACGAAUAAGCACCGGCUAACUCCGUGCCAGCCGCCGCCGUAA